AUUUAUGGCCAUGCCACCCUGAACAAGCCCAAUCCCAUCUGAUUUCGGAAGCUAAGCAGGGUUGGGCCUGGUUAGUACUUAGAUGGGAAACCACCUAGGAAGACCAGGUGCUGUAGGUG
Molecule: ribosomal RNA, 119 nt
Filed under: Pteropus alecto (black flying fox)
Lineage: Eukaryota; Metazoa; Chordata; Mammalia; Chiroptera; Pteropodidae
Source: RNAcentral